UGUAUUGGUAGGCGCAGAAGAAAUUCCCUGUGUAGCGGUGAAAUGUGUAGAUAUUGGGAAGAACACCAGUGGCUAACGCGCUCUACUGGGCCGUACCUAACUCUAAAGGACUAAAGUUAGGGGAGCGAAAGGGAUUAGAUACCCCUGUAGUCACCCCCCCCCUUUAAACCAUUGGAUCUACUUAAAACCGGGGC
This 194-nucleotide ribosomal RNA is filed under the name Phormidium sp. Helwan. RNAcentral describes it as "partial 16S ribosomal RNA". It matches the Rfam family "Bacterial small subunit ribosomal RNA", at positions 642 to 832 of the family's 1533-position model. The record is from RNAcentral. Lineage: Bacteria; Bacillati; Cyanobacteriota; Cyanophyceae; Oscillatoriales; Oscillatoriaceae.